CCUACGGGUGGCAGCAGUGGGGAAUAAUGCACAAUGGGGGAAACCCUGAUGCAGCGACGCCGCGUGAGGGAAGAAGGAUUUCGGUAUGUAAAGCUCUAGCAGCAGGGAAGAAAAUGACGGUACCUGAAUAAGAAGCCGCGGCGAACGUCGUGCCAGCAGCCGCGGUAAUGCGUAGUUGGCAAGCGUUAGCCGGAAUGACUGGGCGUAAAGGGUGCGUAGGGGGUUUCGGAAGUGGGCGGUGUAAUUCCGGGGCUCACCCUCGGCGCGACCCCCCAAACUCUUAGACUAGAGUGCAGGAGGGGUAAGUGGAAUUCCUGGUGUAGCGGUGAAAUGCGUAGAUAUUAGGAGGAACAUCCGUGGCGAAGGCGACUUCCUGGACUGUAACUGACACUGAGGCACGAAAGCGUGGGGAGCGAACAGGAUUAGAUACCCUUGUAGUC
This 440-nucleotide ribosomal RNA is filed under the name uncultured bacterium. Its description in RNAcentral is "partial 16S ribosomal RNA". It matches the Rfam family "Bacterial small subunit ribosomal RNA", at positions 338 to 795 of the family's 1533-position model. The record is from RNAcentral.